RNAcentral lists this ribosomal RNA (1412 nucleotides) under Engystomops coloradorum (Colorado dwarf frog). Its description in RNAcentral is "partial 16S ribosomal RNA". It matches the Rfam family "Bacterial large subunit ribosomal RNA", at positions 133 to 2592 of the family's 2925-position model. The record is from RNAcentral. Lineage: Eukaryota; Metazoa; Chordata; Amphibia; Anura; Leptodactylidae.
GCUAAAAAUAUAGCCUUAUAUAUCCUAAUGUAAAACCCCUUUUACACAAUUAAAUUAAAACAUUUUAUAAACUUAGUAGGGGAGAUUAAAAAGUUUCUUAGAGCUAUAACAAUAGUACCGCAAGGGAUGUGUGAAAUAAAAAUGAAAUAAAACUCAAGCAAUAAAAAGUAAAGCUUAACCCUUGUACCUUUUGCAUCAUGGUUCAACUAGUCUAACCAAGCAAAAAGAAUUAAAGUUUGACCCCCCGAAACUAAGUGAGCUACUUCAGGGCAGCUUAAUGAGCCAACCCGUCUCUGUUGCAAAAGAGUGGGAUGACCUUCAAGUAGAGGUGACAGACCUAACGAACUUAGUGAUAGCUGGUUAUUCAGGAAAAGAAUAUUAGUUCAACUUAAAAUUAUAUAAAUUACUAAAAAUUAACCCAUAAUUUUAAAGUAAUUCAAACAAGGUACAGCCUGUUUGAACUAGGAUACAACCUCUUCUAAUGGGUAAUUUAUAAUGAUUACAACUAAGUAGGCCUAAAAGCAGCCACCUUUAGAAUAGCGUCAAAGCUUAUUUAUUUAUCUUAAUUAAUACACUAUCUUUUAUUAACCCUUUUUCACUACUGAAUAAUUUUAUAAUAUUAUAAAAAUCUUUAUGUUGGAACUAGUAACAAGAAGACAAACUUCUCUUUAGUGCAAGUAUAACUCGGGCAGGAUAAACCACCGACAAUCAACACCCAUGAACCUUAAAUAGUAACUUCACAUGAAAACUCUAUUAUAUAUAAUGUUAAUCUUACACCAGAGCACUAAAAGAAAGAUUUUAAAAAAAGGAAGGAACUCGGCAAACAUUAACCUCGCCUGUUUACCAAAAACAUCGCCUUCUGCUUUUUGAUAGAAGGUCCAGCCUGCCCAGUGAACUAAUUCAACGGCCGCGGUAUCCUAACCGUGCGAAGGUAGCGUAAUCACUUGUUCUUUAAAUGAGGACUAGUAUGAAUGGCAUCACGAGGGUUAUACUGUCUCCCUUUUUUAAUCAGUUAAACUAAUCUCCCCGUGAAGAAGCGAGGAUAUAUAUAUAAGACGAGAAGACCCUAUGGAGCUUUAAAUUAUGCAACAAUAGUUAUAUUUUUGUAAUUUUUAAGAAUAAUUCUAUAUUUAAACUUUAUGAUUGCUAAUUUUUGGUUGGGGUGACCGCGGAGUACAAAGUAACCUCCACAAUGAAAGAAACUUUUUCUGAACUGAGAACUACAGUUCUAAGUACUAAUAACUUAACAUUCUUUGACCCAAUUUAUUGAUCAACGAACAAAGUUACCCUAGGGAUAACAGCGCAAUCCACUUCAAGAGCUCCUAUCGACAAGUGGGUUUACGACCUCGAUGUUGGAUCAGGGUAUCCAAGUGGUGUAGCCGCUACUAACGGUUCGUUGUUCAACGAUAAAA